RNAcentral lists this ribosomal RNA (255 nucleotides) under uncultured bacterium. RNAcentral describes it as "partial 16S ribosomal RNA". It matches the Rfam family "Bacterial small subunit ribosomal RNA", at positions 524 to 777 of the family's 1533-position model. The record is from RNAcentral.
UACAGAGGGUGCGAGCGUUAAUCGGAAUUACUGGGCGUAAAGCGUGCGUAGACGGUCAAGUAAGUCGGGUGUGAAAGCCCCGGGCUCAACCUGGGAAUUGCAUUCGAGACUGCGUGGCUAGGGUGCGGAAGAGGGAAGCGGAAUUUCCGGUGUAGCGGUGAAAUUCGUAGAUAUCGGGAGGAACACCAGUGGCGAAGGCGGCGAUCUGGGAAGAGUACUGACGCUGAGGUGCGAAAGCGUGGGGAGCAAACAGGG